Long non-coding RNA from Herpailurus yagouaroundi (jaguarundi), 1071 nucleotides. RefSeq lists it as uncharacterized. The record is from RefSeq and is a predicted model, not a curated record. Lineage: Eukaryota; Metazoa; Chordata; Mammalia; Carnivora; Felidae. The transcript is spliced from 5 exons.
UUGUAAGAUCCAUCCGUGUGGCCACCUGUAUACAACCAACCUUUGCUUCUAACUGCCACCUGCACUCUGGGGUGGGAUCGAACACUUCUACUGACCCCUUCUUCCAGGAAGGAACAUUGAUGCUGCCUCGAACCACCAUGGAUAUGAAUGAUGGCAUCUACCUAUGUCCCCUGAGAGGCCUGUGUGAGGGUUUCUUUGGGGCGUACCCCCAGAGCAGCAUUGACGGCCCCAGUGCCGAGUGACCCUGACUGGUUGCAUUGGGCCAUCUUCCACUGUGCGGUCAGGAGACCCCACCUCACCACACUGGGCUUCAGCCAGCUUCCAAAUGACACUGGUCUCAGUUCCUUCUCAGCCAACCACUUGAAGUGCCUAUGGUCCAGGACAUCAGAAGCCAAAAAGAAAAAAUUGCAGAAGAGCUUCUCUCCUAGGGAUGCCUGGGUGGCUCAGUCAGUUAAGCGUCUGACUUUGGCUCAGGUCAUGAUGUCACAGCCAAUUUGGAAGACAGAAGCAAAGGAGAGUCACAAAAGCCAGUUUUGUCACCCUGAGUCCUGCUAACUAGCUGACAGCCUCUGGCACUCGCUGAUCUGAGGAUGCAGAGGAGGCCACAGGAGUGCCCAGGAGCCUGAAGAUGGAACAGAGAAAAUGGAGAAACCAGAGUAUGCGGGGUAGAGCUUGAUCAAUAGUUAAGAUCCUGUUUUCUCAACUAUCAAUCUACCCCUCAUAAAAUCAGCGUCAUCAGUUAACACAAAACCCAGGGUGUGGCUUUCAGACCCAAAGUCCCUACUCUGAUCUGUGAGUAUCCACAUGAUUCGGCCCCUGCCUACUUCUAAUGACUUCAUCCCUUACCACAUCCCUGUGACUUGCUACACUUGACCCAUACGAACAGGUGCACUUCAAUCUUAGGAAGCUCACACCAGCAGUCCCUUGGUUUGGAACAUUCCUGCCCUACUCCUUCCUGCCCCUGCUAUUUUCUCAUAGCUGCUUCUUCCCUACCAUUGAGAUUUCAACUUAAAUGUCGUCUAUGCAUUGAGGACUCUGAGCAGAAAGUAAAGUAGGCUCUCAGUCACUUUA